This 212-nucleotide ribosomal RNA is filed under the name uncultured bacterium. RNAcentral's name for it is "partial 16S ribosomal RNA". It matches the Rfam family "Bacterial small subunit ribosomal RNA", at positions 568 to 776 of the family's 1533-position model. The record is from RNAcentral.
UGCGUAGGUGGCGCCGUAAGUCGGGUGUGAAAUUUCGGAGCUUAACUCCGAAACUGCAUUCGAUACUGCGGUGCUUGAGGACUGGAGAGGAGACUGGAAUUCACGGUGUAGCAGUGAAAUGCGUAGAGAUCAUGAGGAAGACCAGUGGCGAAGGCGGGUCUCUGGACAGUUCCUGACACUGAGGCACAAGGGCCAGGGGGAAGGCAAAACGG